GACGAACGCUGGCGGCGUGCCUAACACAUGCAAGUCGAGCGGGGAUUGCAGUAAUGUAAUCUUAGCGGCGGACGGGUGAGUAACGCGUGGGCAACCUACCUUAGACAGGGGGAUAACACUGGGAAACUAGUGCUAAUACCGCAUAAAGUCAAUGGAUAGCAUUAUCCGAUGACCAAAGGAGAAAUCCGGUAAAAGAUGGGCCCGCGUCCGAUUAGCUAGUUGGUGGUGUAAAGGACUACCAAGGCAGCGAUCGGUAGCCGAACUGAGAGGUUGAUCGGCCACAUUGGGACUGAGACACGGCCCAGACUCCUACGGGUGGCUG
Molecule: ribosomal RNA, 322 nt
Filed under: uncultured Bacillota bacterium
Lineage: Bacteria; Bacillati; Bacillota
Description: bacterial SSU rRNA
Rfam family: Bacterial small subunit ribosomal RNA
Source: RNAcentral